AAAUUUACAAAGAAACAAAAGGUUAAAGCGAGGAAACAAAACUGACUCAAAGAUGCCUUGUACGCAAAUUGAUCGAAACAAUUAAUUCGGAAUCAAAUAAUUAGAACCUCGACAACUGCAGACUAUACCUUCAUUUAGAAAGAGUGAAAGCACAUAAAUAUGCUUCAUCAAUUCCAUUCUCUCAUCCAUUCAGGUUCAAUCAAUUAAAAGAAGUCGAAUGCCACUUUCAGCUAAAUUGCAAGAUAUGUAAUCCUCAUAAAUAUAUAAACCUACAGAGCAAGGAAUUCCAAUCAAACUUGUUUUUGUUAUAUUUAACCCACAAUAACAGAAGACGUAAAACUUAUUCAAACUAUUGGAAAUCAGACUCUAAGAAUCAAUCAACUAAAAAUCAAUUUAAGAAUGUACCAUAACAACUUUAUCAACCCAUAACACAUGUAAAACAAAAUCAUAUUAACACAACUCUUGGAUACUUAAGUUCACGACAAGAAAAUUGAAGAAGAUGAAAUAAUACGGAGAAAAACCUUUUUAAACCAAAGUUUUCUUAUUAUUGGGAAGAAUUGUCGAGUACCAAACUUCGACUCUAAAUCCGAGCAAAGUCAGCGGCGAGAGACCAGUAAAAACUGCGAACCUUACGCAGAGGAUGGCAUCAAACUCCCGAUCUAACAUUGAGCCUCGAAAGAAAAACUCGAAUCGACAUCGAAACGAACCAAUCAAACCCUAUCGGUUCCAAGGUUUCCUUUGGUAAAUCAUAAAUUAAAAGAAAAACUAAAAAAUUGCAAAGGACAUUGUCCUAUUGAUUUUCAUGGCAUCUCCAGCCAAAUUGCUUGGUGGUGCGCAGUGAAGAAGCAGCAGCGGUUGCUGUGUAUGUGCGGUGGCGUGAGGGGUUGUCACUGGAGUUCGGGUGUGUGGGUCCAAGAAGAUGAAGGUUGGGGGGUGGGUCUUGUAUCAGUGAAGCUGAGAGCUCCUCUAUAUUGCAGGCGUGUAUAUCGUUAUGUGUACUAGGUUUAGGGUUUU
This 1014-nucleotide long non-coding RNA is filed under the name Nicotiana benthamiana. Its description in RNAcentral is "long non-coding RNA (NBEN_LNC041597)". The record is from RNAcentral. Lineage: Eukaryota; Viridiplantae; Streptophyta; Magnoliopsida; Solanales; Solanaceae.